UAGAUCAGCUCCUCGCCCAUGAACUUCACGAUCUGAUCGGCGCCGACGUGGAUGAGCGCGUGGAUCUCGGCCCGGCGCGCGAUGUCGCCGAGCCGGACCGCGACCUCGUUCACC
Molecule: unclassified non-coding RNA, 114 nt
Filed under: fungal sp.
Lineage: Eukaryota; Fungi
Description: partial internal transcribed spacer region
Source: RNAcentral